UGGGGAAUAUUGCACAAUGGAGGGAACUCUGAUGCAGCGACGCCGCGUGAACGAAGAAGGCUUUCGAGUCGUAAAGUUCUUUUAUAUGGGAAGAUAAUGACGGUACCAUAAGAAAAAGCCCCGGCUAACUACGUGCCAGCAGCCGCGGUAAUACGUAGGGGGCUAGCGUUGUCCGGAAUCACUGGGCGUAAAGGGUUCGCAGGCGGAAAUGCAAGUCAGGUGUAAAAGGCAGUAGCUUAACUACUGUACGCAUUUGAAACUGCAUAUCUUGAGAAGAGUAGAGGUAAGUGGAAUUUUUAGUGUAGCGGUGAAAUGCGUAGAUAUUAAAAAGAAUACCGGUGGCGAAGGCGACUUACUGGGCUCAUUCUGACGCUGAGGAACGAAAGCGUGGGUAGCAAACAGG
RNAcentral lists this ribosomal RNA (403 nucleotides) under Fusobacteriota bacterium. Its description in RNAcentral is "Fusobacteria bacterium partial 16S ribosomal RNA". It matches the Rfam family "Bacterial small subunit ribosomal RNA", at positions 355 to 776 of the family's 1533-position model. Lineage: Bacteria; Fusobacteriati; Fusobacteriota. The record is from RNAcentral.